This 458-nucleotide ribosomal RNA is filed under the name uncultured bacterium. RNAcentral describes it as "partial 16S ribosomal RNA". It matches the Rfam family "Bacterial small subunit ribosomal RNA", at positions 338 to 795 of the family's 1533-position model. The record is from RNAcentral.
CCUACGGGUGGCAGCAGUGAGGAAUAUUGGUCAAUGGGCGCGAGCCUGAACGAGCCAAGUCGCGUGAGGGAAGACGGUCUUCUGGAUUGUAAACCUCUUUUGUCGGGGAGCAAAAGACGCCACGCGUGGCGUUCCGAGAGUACCCGAAGAAAAAGCAUCGGCUAACUCCGUGCCAGCAGCCGCGGUAAUACGGAGGAUGCGGGCGUUGUCCGGAUUUAUGUGGUUUAAGGGGUGCGCAGGCGGAAGAUCAAGACAGCGGUAAAAUUGAGAGGCUCAACCUCUUCGAGCCGUUGAAACUGGUUUGCUUGAGGGAGUGAGAAGUAUGCGGAAUGCGUGGGGUAGCGGUGAAAUGCAUAGAUAUCACGCAGAACCCAGAGUGCGAAGGCAGCAUACCGGCGCUCAACUGACGCUCAUGCACGAAAGUGUGGGUAUCGAACAGGAUUAGAUACCCGGUAGUC